GCCUGGGUGGCUCAGUCAGUUGAGCAUCUGACUCUUGAUUUUGGCUCAGGUUAUGAUCUCAGUGUUAUGGGUUUGAGCCCCAUGUCAGGCU
Molecule: transfer RNA, 91 nt
Filed under: Felis catus (domestic cat)
Lineage: Eukaryota; Metazoa; Chordata; Mammalia; Carnivora; Felidae
Also listed under: 3 other names
Rfam family: tRNA
About the family: Transfer RNA (tRNA) molecules are approximately 80 nucleotides in length. Their secondary structure includes four short double-helical elements and three loops (D, anti-codon, and T loops). Further hydrogen bonds mediate the characteristic L-shaped molecular structure. tRNAs have two regions of fundamental functional importance: the anti-codon, which is responsible for specific mRNA codon recognition, and the 3' end, to which the tRNAs corresponding amino acid is attached (by aminoacyl-tRNA synthetases). tRNAs cope with the degeneracy of the genetic code in two manners: having more than one tRNA (with a specific anti-codon) for a particular amino acid; and 'wobble' base-pairing, i.e. permitting non-standard base-pairing at the 3rd anti-codon position.
Source: Rfam by way of RNAcentral